UGAAUUCUCUCUCGCGUACAUCCAAGCAUCUCCAGCCAACAGAAUGACCCGCGCUGUCUUAUCCAUCCUGGUGAUGUUUGUGUGUCUUGCACAUACGCGGGAGACACUGGAUGACUUCAAGAUGGUGAUUGAAGAUGUCGAAUUGUACAUCAAUUCCUUGAAGGAAGAAGAUUUUGAGAUGGUUGCUAACAGCUUCAUAGACCAGUAUAUGCGUAUAACGGACAAUGUAUU
Molecule: long non-coding RNA, 231 nt
Organism: Gadus morhua (Atlantic cod)
Lineage: Eukaryota; Metazoa; Chordata; Actinopteri; Gadiformes; Gadidae
Exons: 4
Source: RefSeq, a predicted model, not a curated record